This 156-nucleotide unclassified non-coding RNA is filed under the name uncultured Phaeomoniellales. RNAcentral's name for it is "sequence contains ITS2". Lineage: Eukaryota; Fungi; Ascomycota; Eurotiomycetes; Phaeomoniellales. The record is from RNAcentral.
UCAACCAUCAAGCCUGGCUUGCCAUUGGGUCCUGAUAUCGUUAAAAGAUAGGCCCGAAAGGUAAUGGCAGUGUCGAGUUUUGGCCCCAGGUGCAGCGAGCUUCAAGCAUACACCGAGGUGGUCUUCUCGGCCUGGCCCUGUCAAACCCAUUUUCAA